CGGGGCGUGGCGCAGCCUGGUAGCGCGCUUCGUUUGGGACGAAGAAGUCGCUGGUUCGAAUCCAGUCGCCCCGACCA
RNAcentral lists this transfer RNA (77 nucleotides) under Deltaproteobacteria bacterium. RNAcentral's name for it is "tRNA-Pro". It matches the Rfam family "tRNA". From Rfam's summary of the family: Transfer RNA (tRNA) molecules are approximately 80 nucleotides in length. The record is from RNAcentral. Lineage: Bacteria; Pseudomonadati; Myxococcota; Myxococcia. RNAcentral also lists the same sequence under 1 other name.